UGAGCAACCUGCUUCUGACUCUGGGAUAACCCCGGGAAACCGGAGCUAAUACCGGAUACGACACGCGAAGGCAUCUUCUGCGUGUAGAAAGAUUUAUCGGUCAGGGAUGGGCUCGCGGCCUAUCAGCUUGUUGGUGGGGUAACGCCCACCAAGGCGACGACGGGUAGCCGGCCUGAGAGGGCGACCGGCCACACUGGGACUGAGACACGGCCCAGACUCCUAUGGGAGGCA
This 231-nucleotide ribosomal RNA is filed under the name uncultured bacterium. RNAcentral's name for it is "partial 16S ribosomal RNA". It matches the Rfam family "Bacterial small subunit ribosomal RNA", at positions 118 to 350 of the family's 1533-position model. The record is from RNAcentral.